AUUGAACGCUGGCGGCAGGCCUACCACAUGCAAGUCGAGCGGUAGCACAGAGAGCUUGCUCUCGGGUGACGAGCGGCGGACGGGUGAGUAAUGUCUGGGAAACUGCCUGAUGGAGGGGGAUAACUACUGGAAACGGUAGCUAAUACCGCAUAACGUCGCAAGACCAAAGUGGGGGACCUUCGGGCCUCAUGCCAUCAGAUGUGCCCAGAUGGUAUUAGCUAGUAGGUGGGGUAACGGCUUACCUAGCCGACUAUCCCUACGUGGUCUGAGAGGAUGACCAACCACGCUGAAACUGAGAAAGGAUCCAAAUUCCUAAGUGCUGAACCACCGGGGAUUUUUCUACAAUGAACAUGGGUUCAAAACCUCAAAACCCCUUCUCAACUAAAGAAAGGGGGGUUUAGGGCGCCUUUUCCCUGUUGGGUAUGUCCCCUCUGUGGGGCACCCUAAUAACUCGUGUUCAGUCUCUAAACGA
This 472-nucleotide ribosomal RNA is filed under the name uncultured Vibrio sp. RNAcentral's name for it is "bacterial SSU rRNA". The stretch from base 18 to 364 matches the Rfam family "Bacterial small subunit ribosomal RNA", at positions 45 to 393 of the family's 1533-position model. The record is from RNAcentral. Lineage: Bacteria; Pseudomonadati; Pseudomonadota; Gammaproteobacteria; Vibrionales; Vibrionaceae.